Molecule: ribosomal RNA, 241 nt
Filed under: uncultured Staphylococcus sp.
Lineage: Bacteria; Bacillati; Bacillota; Bacilli; Caryophanales; Staphylococcaceae
Description: partial 16S ribosomal RNA
Rfam family: Bacterial small subunit ribosomal RNA
Source: RNAcentral
CGGACGGGUGAGUAACACGUGGAUAACCUACCUAUAAGACUGGGAUAACUUCGGGAAACCGGAGCUAAUACCGGAUAAUAUAUUGAACCGCAUGGCUCAAUAGUGAAAGACGGUUUUGCUGUCACUUAUAGAUGGAUCCGCGCCGCAUUAGCUAGUUGGUAAGGUAACGGCUUACCAAGGCAACGAUGCGUAGCCGACCUGAGAGGGUGAUCGGCCACACUGGAACUGAGACACGGUCCAG